AGACCCGAAACCCGGUGAUCUAGCCAUGGGCAGGUUGAAGGUUGGGUAACACUAACUGGAGGACCGAACCGACUAAUGUUGAAAAAUUAGCGGAUGACCUGUGGCUGGGGGUGAAAGGCCAAUCAAACCGGGAGAUAGCUGGUUCUCCCCGAAAGCUAUUUAGGUAGCGCCUCGUGAAUUCAUCUCCGGGGGUAGAGCACUGUUUCGGCUAGGGGGCCAUCCCGGCUUACCAACCCGAUGCAAACUGCGAAUACCGGAGAAUGUUAUCACGGGAGACACACGGCGGGUGCUAACGUCCGUCGUGAAGAGGGAAACAACCCAGACCGCCAGCUAAGGUCCCAAAGUCAUGGUUAAGUGGGAAACGAUGUGGGAAGGCCCAGACAGCCAGGAUGUUGGCUUAGAAGCAGCCAUCAUUUAAAGAAAGCGUAAUAGCUCACUGGUCGAGUCGGCCUGCGCGGAAGAUGUAACGGGGCUAAACCAUGCACCGAAGCUGCGGCAGCGAACGUAUCACUUAAAGCGAUUCAGCGGGUUACGACUGACGGAGCGAAGCGACGUCAAAGCGUAUACAAAGUCGAGUCGGUUUAAGGAUACGUUCGUUGGGUAGGGGAGCGUUCUGUAAGCCUGCGAAGGUGGCCUGUGAGGGUUGCUGGAGGUAUCAGAAGUGCGAAUGCUGACAUAAGUAACGAUAAAGCGGGUGAAAAGCCCGCUCGCCGGAAGACCAAGGG
Molecule: ribosomal RNA, 725 nt
Filed under: Salmonella enterica subsp. enterica serovar Blockley
Lineage: Bacteria; Pseudomonadati; Pseudomonadota; Gammaproteobacteria; Enterobacterales; Enterobacteriaceae
Description: partial 23S ribosomal RNA
Rfam family: Bacterial large subunit ribosomal RNA
Source: RNAcentral